CAGCCGCCGCGGGAAUACGGAGGGUGCAAGCGUUAAUCGGAUUUACUGGGCGUAAAGCGUGCGUAGGCGGCUUCUUAAGUCGGAUGUGAAAUCCCUGAGCUUAACUUAGGAAUUGCAUUCGAUACUGGGAAGCUAGAGUAUGGGAGAGGAUGGUAGAAUUCCAGGUGUAGCGGUGAAAUGCGUAGAGAUCUGGAGGAAUACCGAUGGCGAAGGCAGCCAUCUGGCCUAAUACUGACGCUGAGGUACGAAAGCAUGGGGAGCAAACAGGAUUAGAUACCCCAGUAGUCCCUGUCUCUUAUAC
Molecule: ribosomal RNA, 301 nt
Filed under: uncultured bacterium
Lineage: Bacteria
Description: partial 16S ribosomal RNA
Rfam family: Bacterial small subunit ribosomal RNA
Source: RNAcentral